RNAcentral lists this ribosomal RNA (774 nucleotides) under uncultured bacterium. RNAcentral's name for it is "bacterial SSU rRNA". It matches the Rfam family "Bacterial small subunit ribosomal RNA", at positions 8 to 796 of the family's 1533-position model. The record is from RNAcentral.
AGAGUUUGAUCCUGGCUCAGGACGAACGCUGGCGGCGUGCUUAACACAUGCAAGUCGAACGGAAAGGCCCUGCUUGCAGGGUACUCGAGUGGCGAACGGGUGAGUAACACGUGGGUGAUCUGCCCUGCACUUCGGGAUAAGCCUGGGAAACUGGGUCUAAUACCGGAUAGGAGCCAUUUUUAGUGUGAUGGUUGGAAAGUUUUUUCGGUGUAGGAUGAGCUCGCGGCCUAUCAGCUUGUUGGUGGGGUAAUGGCCUACCAAGGCGGCGACGGGUAGCCGGCCUGAGAGGGUGGACGGCCACAUUGGGACUGAGAUACGGCCCAGACUCCUACGGGAGGCAGCAGUGGGGAAUAUUGCACAAUGGGCGCAAGCCUGAUGCAGCGACGCCGCGUGGGGGAUGACGGCCUUCGGGUUGUAAACUCCUUUCGCUAGGGACGAAGCUUUUUGUGACGGUACCUAGAUAAGAAGCACCGGCUAACUACGUGCCAGCAGCCGCGGUAAUACGUAGGGUGCGAGCGUUGUCCGGAAUUACUGGGCGUAAAGGGCUCGUAGGUGGUUUGUCGCGUCGUCUGUGAAAUUCCGGGGCUUAACUCCGGGCGUGCAGGCGAUACGGGCAUAACUUGAGUACUGUAGGGGUAACUGGAAUUCCUGGUGUAGCGGUGAAAUGCGCGAUAUCAGGAGGAACACCGAUGGCGAAGGCAGGUUACUGGGCAGUUACUGACGCUGAGGAGCGAAAGCAUGGGUAGCGAACAGGAUUAGAUACCCUAGUAGUCC